Molecule: small nuclear RNA, 127 nt
Filed under: Echinops telfairi (small Madagascar hedgehog)
Lineage: Eukaryota; Metazoa; Chordata; Mammalia; Afrosoricida; Tenrecidae
Description: U1 spliceosomal RNA (ENSETEG00000024336.1)
Rfam family: U1 spliceosomal RNA
About the family: U1 is a small nuclear RNA (snRNA) component of the spliceosome (involved in pre-mRNA splicing). Its 5' end forms complementary base pairs with the 5' splice junction, thus defining the 5' donor site of an intron.
Source: RNAcentral
AUACUUACCUGGCAGGGGAGAUACCAUGAUCAGGAAGGUGGUUUUCCCAGGGUGAGGCUUAUCCAUUGCACUCCAUAUGUGCUGACCCUGCGAUUUCCCCAAAUGUGGGAAACUCGACUGCAUAAGA